This 247-nucleotide ribosomal RNA is filed under the name uncultured Bdellovibrio sp. RNAcentral's name for it is "partial 16S ribosomal RNA". It matches the Rfam family "Bacterial small subunit ribosomal RNA", at positions 210 to 456 of the family's 1533-position model. The record is from RNAcentral. Lineage: Bacteria; Pseudomonadati; Bdellovibrionota; Bdellovibrionia; Bdellovibrionales; Pseudobdellovibrionaceae.
GUUUUUCGCUUGAGGAUGAGCCCAUACGGGAUUAGCUAGUUGGUGAGGUAAUGGCUCACCAAGGCUACGAUCCCUAACUGGUCUUAGAGGAUGAUCAGUCACGCUGGAACUGAGACACGGUCCAGACUCCUACGGGAGGCAGCAGUAGGGAAUAUUGCACAAUGGGGGAAACCCUGAUGCAGCGACGCCGCGUGAGUGAUGAAGGCCUUCGGGUCGUAAAGCUCUGUCGUAUGGGAAUAAAAAAAUG